CCUAAGAUCUGUUCCACUCAUCCUCUUCCUCGUACACACUAAAACCCUUGCUUGAAAACCACAAAGACUCAAAAACUAGUGUUGUCGCUACUGUCAUCUCAUCAAUGGCUGCCGCUUUACUACCAUCAUGACUCUUUUUGUUUUGUAUUUCUGGCACCAACACCACCAUUGCAUUCACCGGAGGAACUUGCUCAGUUUCAAGCUAGAGUUACAAUUGGAGAUCUCCCAAUAAGAUGUCUGAUAUUCAAUCAUGAAUGGUUCUCUUGAAGGGCAAGGCCUUUAUCGUAGUUACUAUCUUUCAGAACUCAUUGUAUUCUUUGGGCUAAAAGUUGUUAUUUUGGUACAUUUUCAUGGAUAAAAAAUAGUAGGUAGUGUAUGUCUACAUGGUUUUUUUCUUAACUAGUAGAUUUGAUAAUAUAAUCAAAGGAACUACUUAACACGAUAUAGUGAGUGAGAGGGAAAGAUAAAGAAAGAGGGGAGAGAAUCGGAGAUGUACAUAAAAAGAAUAAUAAUAAUAAAUGUGUGAGAUAUCAAGUAAACGGGUAUCGAUUUCUUUUUGUGAAGGACUUUUUAAAUUCCAUCUUUAUUUUAUUCAUUUCCUAGCCUUUAAGAUUGAGACUUGCAGAUAUUGAGUUUGACAAGAGUAACUCUCAAGCUCGAGAGGUAGACCACUUUUAAGGUGAUGUGGGCAAAAAAUGUGGAGAAUACAAAAUUAUUCAAAGGAAAUUUAUGUAACCAUACACCAAGGGGCAAAAUUUUGUUUUUUAGAAACUUUGUUUUUUUACUUUUCAAAUUCAAUGGAUUUUGGGGAAAAUAAAUGGUCUUUCAUACACUGUAAUAGUGAUGUUGAGGCCCUUCCAAAAAUGCCCUCCUACACUUUAACAACUCUCCUAGUUGGAUCGGUUGCUUGGAAAAGCCACGUAAGUAAGGUCCAAAUCAGCUGUCCAUUUAAGUUGAUGACAUGACUCAUGUACAUGUCACCGUCCAACUAGACACUCCACAUAGAUUGAUUUUUCAAAAAAAAUUUACUAAAACAUAACAAAAUGGAUAGUGAGAUUUACCCCCAAAUCCCUUUUUCUCUCUUGAACCAAACCCUAACUCCAAAAACCCAUAUUCUUUCACCUUCAUUCACAACCACAAUUCGCCAAGGGAGCUGGUGGUGAAAACGGAGAGAGGUGGCCCGAGUUGAGAGGAGAAAAAAAAAGUGAGAGAGAGAGACAAAGAGCAGAGGAUGACACUUUAGGUUGGUUACUGGUUUCGUUGGUUUUGGAAGAGGACACAAGACACUUGAAGCGAGUAAAAUGUUGUUGGAGAUAAGCUUUCCUAGGUACGAAUGUAAUGGAUUUAUUAGUUCAUUUGGGUUCUUAUCGUUGCUUGUUGAGAUCAGAUCUAGCCUUUCUCAUUUCUGUAACUGUCAUGGAAAGGAAACAAUAUAUUAUUCAUGAUGUUUUUACAA
Molecule: long non-coding RNA, 1456 nt
Organism: Vitis vinifera (wine grape)
Lineage: Eukaryota; Viridiplantae; Streptophyta; Magnoliopsida; Vitales; Vitaceae
Exons: 2
Source: RefSeq, a predicted model, not a curated record